RNAcentral lists this long non-coding RNA (3482 nucleotides) under Homo sapiens (human). RNAcentral describes it as "HSALNT0180126". The record is from RNAcentral. Lineage: Eukaryota; Metazoa; Chordata; Mammalia; Primates; Hominidae.
UGGCACCACUGGGUCCAGCUGGUGUCAUAAUGCUGCAGUCAACUGAGUCAACAUGAGAGUCCUCUCUGGCUCUGAGCCUGUCCUCACUGGCUGCUUCACGUCCCUCUCUAUGCUGCCAUCUCAAGUUUUUAUGGCUCAGAGAGUUCCUGUCACUUCCCUGCUGAAUUCCUGUGUUCUUCCUUAGAAACUCUAUUCUAUUUUUGAUUAUCUACUGGCUGUUUUGUUUCUUCUUCGUGGAGAAGGAACCAUUUUCUUUAAUGAAAGAUAUUGGGUGGAGAUAGAAUUAGGUAAUUUGAAGGUAGCAGUAUUUCUCUGAAUUCUAGGAAUGCUCAAGGUGUUACCAAUUGUGAUAAUGCUACGAGGUGAGGCCUUUAAGAAGUAAUUAGGCCAUGAGGGCUCUUCUUGCAGGAACGGAGGAAUGCGAAAACAUCAUGUUCCAGGGACAGUCUUCAUUUGCGCUAGACAAAAGACAAACAAUCCUUCCUUGAAUGGACCCACUCUUCUUUUUUCACUCAUCUCCUCUCACUGAUCUCCCUGCUGGUGGUGGCGGAUAGAAGGCAGAGAUGUGGUCAACACCAAAUGAGAUUAUGUUCUGGGAAUUCAGAGAUUACAGUCUGAAGAAUUCAAGAUAAGGUAUGACCUCCAUAAAGAACCUUCAUAUCAUCUUGCCCUGCAUGAAAUAUAUUAGAAGCCUUUGCUCUGGUCUUUCAUGGUACUUUUAAAGGAUAUUAUCAUUUACAAAAUGGAAUACCAAUGACUUUUCACAAGUGGUCUAUCAACUAAGCAUGUACUUAAGUAAAUAUUUUCAGAGGAUUUCAUUAACCUCUGAGUGAAUAGUUGAAAAAAAAGAAUGAAACAGAUAUAAGUCCAUGUUUUUAUUUGUAAAUAAAUGUAUUGCCAAAAUUACAUACAAAUAACAAAUAAUGUCUCGAGUGACAUGCAAUGAUCAAAAUCCUCAAAAGAAUACUUUUGUUUAGUAGAGAUUUGAACAAAUAAACUACAAUUUAAGGAGACUGUUGUAUUUCUUUUGAGAUAACCCCAUAAGUUUUACAUUCUGUAUCAAGGCAUCCAUUUGCAGUAAUAAAGAUUCAAGGCUUAUCCCUAAAAGGCAAUGCCCAUUCUUUAUAGUCAAUAUGAUCCUGCUAGCACAUAAAGCCUGAAGAAAUAACAGAUACUAGAUUUAAAACCACUUUACUAAAAUUAAUCCAUGGUGAUGAUAUGGAAGAAAACCACAGGAGUCUUGAGAAAAUAAACUAGCUGCUGUCUGGUUGAUACCAGAAAUAGAGAUUGGUAUAAGGAAAAAAUUAAAAGAAAGAAGUAUCACAAAUAAGAAUGAUUGAUACUUAUUAGAAACAUAUCUGGAAAUAGAUGAUUAGGAAUAUUAAAAAUAAAAAUGAAGAGGUAUAUAUGAUGCCACUGAAGAAACAAGCAAAAUUCAAAUGAAUAAAAGGUAAACAAGAAAUCAGGAAAUAAAAAAAGUCCAAUAAAAUCUGAAAAGGGAAAGAAGGCACAAAGUAAGUAUCAAUAAAGAAACCACAAUAUCAUUACUGCAAAGUCAGAGGUCAAAACAUCAUAGCUAUAGAAACCUUAAAGAGACUUUUUAAAAUAUAUCAUUUCUAAGAGGCCAUAAUAUACAAUAAGUUACAAAUAUAAAAAUGUUUUAAUAUUUACAAUUUAACGUACAUGUAGACAAUAAAGUUAUGGGAAAAGAAACAAAAGACAACAAAAGUAACAUCCCUACUUAUGUACACUCACUAUGCUUUCACGGUACAUACUUUUACUUUCCAAACCCUAACAAUUAUAUAGCAUUUCACACAAUAAAAUUUUAUAUAGCAUAUCUGAAUUACUUCAAAGCUUAAUGCGGAUUUAAAUAAUAAAACUUUACUAUUUUGAUCAUAAAUUAAGCAAAUGAGACUAAAAUGACAUUUUUUAUUUUCAACUUAAUGGUUAUUUAAUAAUCACUGCACUCCUUGGGGAUGUUAACAUUGUAGAACUCGACAAAUUAACAAGAUAGUUCUAGGUUGACUCUAUUUUCUCUUAAAUAUUAAAUUUAUGAUUUGCUAAAAAAAAAAAAAAACCUCUAAUAAGGACACAGAACUUAUAGUUUGCCAGUUUGUGUUACAAGAACUUUCUACACUGAGGAAGAUAUGAACACUAGUUAUCACACUCCAAACACUCUGCUUCCUGCACAUACCAUCUCCUGCAUUGCCUAUUUUUUCUAGCAAAGCACUUAGUAAUCACUUGUAUAUGUUUAAUUGUGGAAGUCUUAAAGCUGUAAUAAUUUAUAUUGUGUAAAAUAGAAAGGACGUGAAUUCAGUACAUCAGGGAUGGAAAAUAUGCUCUUACUCAUUCUCCUGUGGCUGAAGUAGAAAUCAGUAGUAUGUAUGUAAACCUUUUUUUCCUGAGCCUCAAAAUUCCUCUCAAUGCUCAGUUCCAGGCAGCCAUUACCAAUUGCUAAGAGUUAGCAUAUGGGUGAAAAUUGAUUUGACAUCUCUAGUUAGAAUAUGAAAUGCUGGCGUAUAAAUUAUAGGUCAAGAGAUCACAGGUAUCUGGAUAAGCAAUAUCAUUCAGUUACAAAAAAAAAUUGGUGUGCAGGGUUAAUAUGAAAUCUGAGAACUAUGUAAACCAUUUCUCAGAGAUUAAAGCCAUGAUAUAGUUACAAUGUAGCCAAAACUGGCUGUGGAACAUAGAGAACUCGUAAGUGUUACUGUCUUAGAUAGCUGGAACGAUCACUGAGACUACUCUUUUAUAUGUUAACUUGUUUACUGCUCACAGCAAACUUAUAUGUUGAGUACUAUGAUUAUCAUCUACCUAUCCUCAAUUAAAACACAUGUACCCUAAAACUUAAAGUAUAAUAAUAAUAAAAUAAAAACAAAACAAACAAAAAGAAAACAAAGAGAUCUUAUUAUCAUCCCCAAGUUAAACUGCAUAACAAAAGGUAGAGGUGGGAUUUUUAACUAAUUUAUCUUCAGAGUAAGUGUCUCUACUAACUUCUAUACUUUCUGUUGCCUAUGCAAGUCUGUUAUAGAAAUCAAAUAAGAACAUGUGGGUAAAAGUGAGUUUAAACCACUAGCAGAUGUAAGGAGUUGAUAUUAAUAAUGAAUCCAUGAAACAUGCAGGGGGGUUAAAGGUUGGGUUUGCAAAUAAGAGGUUUGUGUUUGUUUGUUGUUGUUCUUUUUUUUGAGAUAGAGUCUCGCUGUAUCACCAGGCUGGAGUGCAGUGGUGCGAUACCAGCUUACUGCAACCUCGUCCUCCCGGGUUCAUGCCAUUCUCCUGCGUCAGCCUCUUGAGUAGCUGGGACUACAGGUGCGUGCCACCAUGCCUGGCUAAUUUUUUGUAUUUAUUGUAGAGACAGGAUUUAACCACGUUAGCCAAGUUGAUCUUGAUCUCCUGACUUUGUGAUCCACCCACCUUGGCCUCCCAAAGUGCUGGGAUUACAGGUAUGAGCCAUGGCACUUGGCCUUUUGUUUUGCUUUGUUUUG